GAUGAACGCUGGCGGCGUGCCUAAUACAUGCAAGUCGAGCGAACAGACGAGGAGCUUGCUCCUCUGACGUUAGCGGCGGACGGGUGAGUAACACGUGGAUAACCUCCCUAUAAGACUGGGAUAACUUCGGGAAACCGGAGCUAAUACCGGAUAAUAUAUUGAACCGCAUGGUUCAAUAGUGAAAGACGGUUUUGCUGUCACUUAUAGAUGGAUCCGCGCCGCAUUAGCUAGUUGGUAAGGUAACGGCUUACCAAGGCUACGAUGCGUAGCCGACCUGAGAGGGUGAUCGGCCACACUGGAGCUGAGACACGGUCCAGACUCCUACGGGAGGCAGCAGUAGGGAAUCUUCCGCAGUGGGCGAAAGCCUGACGGAGCAACGCCGCGUGAGUGAUGAAGGUCUUCGGAUCGUAAAACUCUGUUAUUAGGGAAGAACAAAUGUGUAAGUAACUAUGCACGUCUUGACGGUACCUAAUCAGAAAGCAACGGCUAACUACGUG
RNAcentral lists this ribosomal RNA (497 nucleotides) under uncultured bacterium. Its description in RNAcentral is "partial 16S ribosomal RNA". It matches the Rfam family "Bacterial small subunit ribosomal RNA", at positions 28 to 507 of the family's 1533-position model. The record is from RNAcentral.